RNAcentral lists this long non-coding RNA (841 nucleotides) under Linum usitatissimum (flax). RNAcentral's name for it is "long non-coding RNA (LUSI_LNC006022)". The record is from RNAcentral. Lineage: Eukaryota; Viridiplantae; Streptophyta; Magnoliopsida; Malpighiales; Linaceae.
AGCAUGAAAAUCGUGAUAUAUAUAUAUAUAUAUGGUUAGACAGUCGGAAACGUAACGGCCUUAGCCGAUUUGCAGAAAGGGAAAAGAGGACAGCGGAAUUUGCAAAAUCAGAUGGGUCAUAUGGGACAUAAACUCUAUUAAAACACGCUUUACGCCACAAUUUCCUGUACAUAUUUCACAUCUCCCCCUUAAUUCCCGCAGUAAUUCCCGGAGCCCGUUUAGUUAUCUUUCUUUACAUAACCCACCGCCGGCACUAAUCUCCGGUUACUCUCGUGGUGGUAUGGGGUAGUAGUUCCUUCGAAUUAAGCAGUUUUGCAUACUGUUCUCGAUACUCUGUUUCAUACUCUUUGUCUCCGAUUGCGCUUGGUUUGGGGGAGGGAGGUGUGGUUUAAUCGGUCCAACUCGGUCGCCCGCCAGGUGAGUCAACUCGGAGCUUAUAUUUCUUCACCAGCACUGAUCGGUCUCCCAGCUCCGCCCGCUGUAUCCGGACAAUCCGGCGGUGGUGAGCGGCUGCAUCCGCCUGAAGAGCUGCUUCCGAUCGUAAACGACGCGCCUCUCGGGAUCGGAGAGAGUGGUGUAGGCGGCGUGGAUCCUCAUGAACUCGUCAGCGGAGUUGUCUUUGCGAUCGAUCGCAGCCACAUCUGGAUGGCAAGUCCUCGCGAGCUUCCUGUAGGCCGAUUUGAUCUCCUGGCUGGAGGCGCCGUUCGGAAUCCCUAGGAUCUCGUAAAGAGAGGAUGAGGAGGGCAUCUUAGGAGGAGGCAUGGAGACCCUGGGUCUCUCCCUGUACGCGGUCGCCGAAUUGUAGAUCGGAGGUGGCCCAGAUUGGGAGCGGCGGCCGGAA